This is a non-coding RNA of Kwoniella shivajii, 96 nucleotides long. The record is from the annotation of a RefSeq genome assembly. Lineage: Eukaryota; Fungi; Basidiomycota; Tremellomycetes; Tremellales; Cryptococcaceae.
UGCUUCAUGGCUAAGCUGGUUACGGCGUCCGACUGUUAAUUCAUUCUUUGAAAUCUGGCAAUCGGAAGAUCGAGAGUUCGAUCCUCUCUGAAGCAG